AGACCAUGUCAUCCAAUCUACCGUCCAUGGUUCCUCCAUAAACUAUAACCAUUUAAUAAUCAAACCCGAUUCAGAGGUCAUCAAGCCUUUAACAUUAUGGAGAUAACCAGAAUAAACAAGUACCUGGGAAUCAGAAGAGGACUCUUCCCUGCAAGUUACACAUCAAUUCGUGGAAUGAAAGAUAUUUCUUUUGAACGUGAAGUACCUGAUCAAUAAAGUCGGCAACAAACACAGAGAUUAUAAAACUAACUAGACCAACAAAAAAUAACAGAACCUUCUUUAUGGAAUAUCCUGGCUAUCUAACUAUGUUCACGAGAUACUCCAAGAAUAUAGUUUAAAAUUUCUAAUCCGACUCUUUCA
Long non-coding RNA from Arabidopsis thaliana (thale cress), 360 nucleotides. RefSeq annotates it as other RNA. Lineage: Eukaryota; Viridiplantae; Streptophyta; Magnoliopsida; Brassicales; Brassicaceae. The transcript has 2 exons. The record is from RefSeq.